GCCAGGCGUGGUGGUGCGCACCUGUAGUCCCAGCUACUUGGGAGGCCGAUGCUGGAGGAUCACUUGAGCCCAGGAGGUCGAAGCUGCAGUGCGCCAUGAUGGUGCCACUGCACUCCAGCCUGGGCGACAGAGUGAGAUCCUGUCUCAA
This 148-nucleotide signal recognition particle RNA is filed under the name Chlorocebus sabaeus (green monkey). RNAcentral's name for it is "Metazoan signal recognition particle RNA". It matches the Rfam family "Metazoan signal recognition particle RNA". Rfam says of the family: The signal recognition particle (SRP) is a universally conserved ribonucleoprotein. Lineage: Eukaryota; Metazoa; Chordata; Mammalia; Primates; Cercopithecidae. The record is from Rfam by way of RNAcentral.